RNAcentral lists this non-coding RNA (30 nucleotides) under Rattus norvegicus (Norway rat). The record is from RNAcentral. Lineage: Eukaryota; Metazoa; Chordata; Mammalia; Rodentia; Muridae.
UCGAAGGUCCCUUGCAUGAGAAAUCUCUUU